This is a long non-coding RNA of Solanum dulcamara, 177 nucleotides long. RefSeq lists it as uncharacterized. The transcript is spliced from 3 exons. The record is from RefSeq and is a predicted model, not a curated record. Lineage: Eukaryota; Viridiplantae; Streptophyta; Magnoliopsida; Solanales; Solanaceae.
GAAUUUUACAUUGCGGGAGAAAGUUAUGCAGGACAUUAUGUUCCGCAGCUAUCUCAACUUGUCUACUAGCAGAACAAGGGAAUCAAGAACCCAAUUAUUAAUUUCAAGGGCUUUAUGGUUGGAAAUGCUGUUACCGAUGAUUACCAUGACUAUGUUGGCACGUUUGAGUACUGGUGG